UACGGAGGGUGCAAGCGUUGCUCGGAAUUAUUGGGCGUAAAGGGUAGGUAGGUGGUCUCAUUUUGUCUGAGGUGAAAGCCUUGAGCUUAACUCAAGAAGUGCCUUAGAAACGGUGAGACUGGAGUCUUGGAGAGGGUCGUGGAAUUCCCGGGUGUAGCGGUGAAAUGCGUAGAUAUCGGGAGGAACACCAGUAGCGAAGGCGACACUCUGGGCCGGUACUGACGCUGAGGAGCGAAAGCGUGGGGAGCAAACAGG
RNAcentral lists this ribosomal RNA (255 nucleotides) under uncultured bacterium. Its description in RNAcentral is "partial 16S ribosomal RNA". It matches the Rfam family "Bacterial small subunit ribosomal RNA", at positions 524 to 776 of the family's 1533-position model. The record is from RNAcentral.